GCCGGACGGCGCGAGCGUUGUUCGGAAUCACUGGGCGUAAAGGGCGCGUAGGCGGCGCCGGCAGUCGGCCGUGAAAGCCCGGGGCUCAACCCCGGAGGUGCGGCCGAGAGGACGGUGCUGGAGGCCGGAAGAGGAGGGUGGAAUACCCUGUGUAGAGGUGAAAUUCGUAGAUAUUGGGUGGAGCACCGGUGGCGAAAGCGGCUCUCUGGUCCGGACCUGACGCUGUGGCGAGAAAGCGUGGGGAGCAAACAGG
Molecule: ribosomal RNA, 253 nt
Filed under: uncultured bacterium
Lineage: Bacteria
Description: partial 16S ribosomal RNA
Rfam family: Bacterial small subunit ribosomal RNA
Source: RNAcentral